Molecule: ribosomal RNA, 497 nt
Filed under: uncultured bacterium
Lineage: Bacteria
Description: partial 16S ribosomal RNA
Rfam family: Bacterial small subunit ribosomal RNA
Source: RNAcentral
GAUGAACGCUGGCGGCGUGCCUAAUACAUGCAAGUCGAGCGAACAGAUGAGGAGCUUGCUCCUCUGACUUUAGCAGCGGACGGGUGAGUAACACGUGGAUAACCUACCUAUAAGACUGGGAUAACUUCGGGAAACCGGAGCUAAUACCGGAUAAUAUAUUGAACCGCAUGGUUCAAUAGUGAAAGACGGUUUUGCUGUCACUUAUAGAUUGAUCCGCGCCGCAUUAGCUAGUUGGUAAGGUAACGGCUUACCAAGGCAACGAUGCGUAGCCGACCUGAGGGGGUGAUCGGCCACACUGGAACUGAGACACGGUCCAGACUCCUACGGGAGGCAGCAGUAGGGAAUCUUCCGCAAUGGGCGAAAGCCUGACGGAGCAACGCCGCGUGAGGGAUGAAGGUCUUCGGAUCGUAAAACUCUGUUAUUAGGGAAGAACAAAUGUGUAAGUAACUAUGCACGUCUUGGCGGUACCUAAUCAGAAAGCCACGGCUAACUACGUG